GGGGAUGUGGCUCAAGUGGUAGAGCGCUUGCCUAGCAUGCAUGAGGCACUGGGUUCGUUUCCCAGCACCA
Molecule: transfer RNA, 70 nt
Filed under: Ictidomys tridecemlineatus (thirteen-lined ground squirrel)
Lineage: Eukaryota; Metazoa; Chordata; Mammalia; Rodentia; Sciuridae
Also listed under: 1 other name
Description: Spermophilus tridecemlineatus (thirteen-lined ground squirrel) tRNA
Rfam family: tRNA
About the family: Transfer RNA (tRNA) molecules are approximately 80 nucleotides in length.
Source: Rfam by way of RNAcentral